This 24-nucleotide microRNA is filed under the name Mus musculus (house mouse). RNAcentral's name for it is "microRNA miR-L-31". The record is from RNAcentral. Lineage: Eukaryota; Metazoa; Chordata; Mammalia; Rodentia; Muridae.
GGCGUAAAGGGAGCGUACGCGGAU